Molecule: unclassified non-coding RNA, 3339 nt
Filed under: Limulus polyphemus (Atlantic horseshoe crab)
Lineage: Eukaryota; Metazoa; Arthropoda; Merostomata; Xiphosura; Limulidae
Description: uncharacterized LOC106469189, transcript variant X7
Source: RNAcentral
ACUGAUGAGUUUCACGUGUUAUUGCAUAGUGUUUAGCUUACUUUAAGUAUGUUUGGUGAGCUAACUGUAGUAUUAGGCUUAUUUCUUGUUAGAUUAUACACUGUUGGUGCCAUGUAUUUUGGAUGAUCGUUAAACUUGAUAAUAAUUCAAUAAGACUCGGUAAUAAUUUGUUGGAAUUAUUAAACUUAGAUUAUACAAGCCUAAGCCAAGGCCCAAUAACGUGAGUAAGGGUAGUGAAUAACAUAAUAAACUGGACUAAAUUAUUAUUUUGAUUAUGUAAUAAUGCCAGUAUUUAAUUUUAAAUAAUAAAAUUUUAAAACGUUGAAAAGUAUGAAACUAAGGAUUGUACUCUACUGGUUACUAAUACUAGUUAAAAGUUUAACGCUUGUAAUUGCCGACUUGCGUAAAAUUCGCGAUCAGACUUCACUAUCUUACUCUUACUAAGUCUUGCACGACUUGGAUCCUACAUUUACUACUAGUAUUAGUUUUACUAAAUACCGCGAUGAAUCGUCAAGAAAAAGCGAACCAUGUCAAGAAGAUGUAAAUAAAGUUUGAAGCACCCAGAGAGAUGAGUUUUCAGAAACUAUUCAACAAGCUUCCCUUUUCUAAAUCCAAAGCUGAGGAAGAACAGAAAAAGCAGUGUAAACCAGUUUUGUCAACAUCAUCUCCAUGUCCUGAGAUGGAUUAUAAAAAAUGUGAAACAAAGUCAUUUGAACUUGCAUCUACAAAAAAUGUUGAAGAAUCUGACAAAAUGUUGCCAAAAAAAAACAAAACACCACAUCUGCUACCAGGUGGAAAUGGGAGUAAGAAGAGAAAAGAAAGGAGUCCAGAUACUGAGGAGGCUGAUACAAAAAUAGAGGUGAAAAAAUCUUUUAUCCAACAUAUUUUUGGAAAACAUUCUACUGACCACUGUCAAGAUAGCAAAGCAUUAUCAAGCUGUCACACUUCAGACAAGAAAAAUUUAUGCACAGAUUCAGAGGAUCACAGCAGUUUUUUACCAGAGAAUAAGUUUCUAAAAUCUUUACAUCAUAGAGCAAAAUCAUUUAAUUUUUAUAGGAGUAAUCAAAAGGAAAAAACAUUUUCAUUAGAACAUUCAUCUACACAAAAAGGACAUGAAAAAGCAGCACAUACUAUUCCGGGAAGUCCAGAUUUAUCGGUUGACAGUUCUUCUGAUAGUUUUUCUGUCUUGGUAUGUUCACAAGAGGACAUCACCUUUGAUUCUAAUCAAAAUUUUUCAUAUUCUUUUGAGGAAAUUGAUGCAAAAGAUGAGGACUGUGAUAAAACUUUGGUGGAAAAUAUUGAUGACUCAGAAGAUGAUUUGGAUCAUAUUGCAACGCUCUCUCAAUCACCUCUUCUCAUAAGAGAUGUUUUCAGAAUUUUAAGUACCACUCAGAAAGUAGGUACUUGCAGUCCUGUGUUGAACAUAAACAACACUGGUGAAAAAGGUGGUAGUCUUCUUCAACCAAAAAGUAUUGAAGAACCUUCAGAGAACUGUAAGCAGAUUAUACAGGUACCUCCUUCAACUCCGAACAUUCACCAACAGUUAAACAGUGAAUUAGAUCUUAUUCAGUAUCAUAAAGGGAAGACAAAUGUAAAAUUAGAAUUUGACAGCUCUGAAGAAGAAGGAGAAAUUAAAGAUGAUGAUGGUGAUUUUAUUUCAAGACCUUAUAAUGGAUCUUAUUUGUCAUGCAAUAUAAAAGAUAAUGCAGUUGAUAAGGAUUCUCAUGGAAAACACAACUCUAAUCAUUCUGAAAACAUUCACCAUUUCACACCACAGUGGACUGAAGGAAGUGUGUAUUCUCGUCAGCUUUUGAAAAUCACUUAUCCUGAAUCACCUUUAGGUUCAUCAACAAGUAAUGUAGAUAACCAAAGAGAAUUUUCAUCAUCACCUCCCUGGUUACACCAAAAAAGGGAUAGAAAUUCAAACAGUGACAACAUAGAAGUGGAACGAGUAAAAGAUCUUUCAUUCUCAUUUGAUGUUUCUCUUGCUGCAUCAUGUAACAGAUCUCUUGAAGUGAAUGCAUACAGUCAGGUUGACAAAUGGCCCUUCAAGUCACCUCGUGUAACACCUCCGUGCACUAAUAAAAAUCUGCAACGUCACCUCAGUUGGGGAAGUGUGAGAGACAAAAGUACAUCUUUAGCUGAUAUAAGUCCAUAUCUUGCUUCUGUAACUUCUCCAUCUACUUCUACAAUCUCUAGAAAAUUGACUUCACGGUUUAAGUUACCUCAGUACAAUAUUAAUGGACUGAUGUCCUUCGAGCCAGGAGUAGACAUCAUAGAUACUCAUUGUCAUUUGGAUUUCUUGUUUCGACGUAUUGGUUUUAAAGGAACUUACUCUCAGUACCAAUUAGUCAAUAAAGACACAUAUCCAGUUUGCUACGGUGGCUGCAUCACAGACUUUUGUGAUCCAAGUACCUUUGGUUUGCCAAUAUUAUGGAAAGAUCUUUUAGAAGAGGAUAAAAUAUGGGCCACAUUUGGAUGCCAUCCUCACAUGGCAGAACAGUAUAAUCCUGAAAUUGAAAUGCACCUGAUUGAUGCUCUACAACAUGACAAAGUAGUUGCCUUGGGAGAAGUUGGCUUAGAUUACUCUCCAAAGAACAGUUGUGCUCGAAAGAUUCAACAUCAUGUGCUGAGAAAACAGCUGAAGAUAGCAGUUGCCCACAAUGUUCCUAUUGUGAUUCACUGUAGAGAUGCUCAUGAAGACUGUUUAAAAAUUUUAAAAGAGGAAGUGCCCUGUGACCACUUCAUUCAUCGUCAUUGUUUCACUGGUAACUGGGAUGAGGCUAUCUUAUGGUUAGAAACAUUUCCAAAUCUCUACAUUGGUUUAACAGCUUUAGUGACUUUCCCUGCAGCCACAGAUGUACAUGAAGUUGCUCGUAAAGUUCCGCUGAACAGGCUUCUUCUUGAGACAGAUACACCUUAUUUUCUUCCCAGAUUAGCACCAAGAAAAAUGAAGUGGUCUCAUCCUGGGAUGGUUAUCCAUGUGGCAGCUCAGAUUACUAAACUAAGGGAAACAACUUCUCUUAAUGAGAUCCUGAAAAUUGUUCGCUGUAAUACAAGAAGAAUGUAUAAAAUAUAAUGUUCUUUUGUUGUUCUUAUAUCAGUUUGAGUUGAAGCAGUGGCAGUAGACUUGUGAAUUUCUGAAGAUGAAUAAAGCAAUACUAUAGUGAGAUUUUGAUAUGCAUAUGAUAAAAAAUGUCUGUACGUUGUUGCAUACAGAGAGUUGCACUAAGAGCUAAAUUGGAGACGUAUGUCUGUGGAAUGCCUGGGUAAAAGUAAGAGGAAUAUAGAAACAAUGCUUGCACGUACCUGAACUGAGUCUCAGUGAAACCAUAAAUC